This 269-nucleotide ribosomal RNA is filed under the name uncultured Oscillibacter sp. RNAcentral's name for it is "partial 16S ribosomal RNA". It matches the Rfam family "Bacterial small subunit ribosomal RNA", at positions 73 to 339 of the family's 1533-position model. The record is from RNAcentral. Lineage: Bacteria; Bacillati; Bacillota; Clostridia; Eubacteriales; Oscillospiraceae.
AUUCGUCCAAGUGAAGCAGAGGACAGUGGCGGACGGGUGAGUAACGCGUGAGGAACCUGCCUUUCAGAGGGGGACAACAGUUGGAAACGACUGCUAAUACCGCAUGACACAUUGGGGUCGCAUGGCCUUGAUGUCAAAGAUUUAUCGCUGAAAGAUGGCCUCGCGUCUGAUUAGGUAGUUGGUGGGGUAACGGCCCACCAAGCCGACGAUCAGUAGCCGGACUGAGAGGUUGAACGGCCACAUUGGGACUGAGAUACGGUCCAAACUCC